This 434-nucleotide ribosomal RNA is filed under the name Travisiopsis coniceps. RNAcentral's name for it is "partial 16S ribosomal RNA". The stretch from base 313 to 434 matches the Rfam family "Bacterial large subunit ribosomal RNA", at positions 2473 to 2596 of the family's 2925-position model. Lineage: Eukaryota; Metazoa; Annelida; Polychaeta; Phyllodocida; Typhloscolecidae. The record is from RNAcentral.
GUAUCCUGACCGUGCWAAGGUAGCAUAAUAAUUUGCCUUUUAAUUGGUGGCUUGUAUGAAUGACGAUUUAAAAUUUUAGCUGUCUCUUUUAUAUAUAUAAAAUUUAUAUUUGAGGUGAAGAUACCUUAAUUUAGUUAAAAGACAAGAAGACCCUAAAAGCUAAAAUAUGAGUUUUUAGUAAAAAUAUGAUUUUAUUAUUAAAUUAAAAUUGUUGAGUGGGGCGCUAGAGGAAAAUUUUUAUCUUCCUUUAAAUAUAUGAAAAAUAUUUCUUAUAUGUUAAUUAAAAAAUAUAAAAAGUUAAGUUACUUUAGGGAUAACAGCCUUAUUUUCUUUUAGAGUACAAAUUGACAAGAAAGUUUGGGACCUCGAUGUUGGCUUAGGAAUUCCUUUGAUGUAGAGGUCAAAAAGGUUAGUUUGUUCAACUAUUAAAAUCC